This 669-nucleotide ribosomal RNA is filed under the name uncultured bacterium. Its description in RNAcentral is "bacterial SSU rRNA". It matches the Rfam family "Bacterial small subunit ribosomal RNA", at positions 28 to 671 of the family's 1533-position model. The record is from RNAcentral.
AAUGAACGCUGGCGGCGUGCUUAACACACGCAAGUCGAGCGCGAACGGGACUUCGGCCCUGAGUAGAGCGGCGAACGGGUGAGUAACACGUGGGUAACCUGCCAUGGAGCGUGGGAUAACCUGGGGAAACUCGGGCUAAUACCGCAUACGUUCGCUGUGCUGCGGCACGGCGAGGAAAGAUGGCCACUGCUUGCAAGCUAUCUCUCCCAGAGGGGCCCGCGGCUGAUUAGCUAGUUGGCGGGGUAACGGCCCACCAAGGCGACGAUCAGUAGCCGGUCUGAGAGGGCGAUCGGCCACACUGGAACUGAGACACGGUCCAGACUCCUACGGGAGGCAGCAGUGGGGAAUAUUGGACAAUGGGGGCAACCCUGAUCCAGCAACGCCGCGUGGGGGAUGAAGGUCUUCGGAUUGUAAACCCCUGUUGAGAGGGACGAAGGCUUUGGAGGCAAACAGUCCGGAAGCUUGACGGUACCUCGAGAGGAAGCCCCGGCUAACUCUGUGCCAGCAGCCGCGGUAAUACAGAGGGGGCGAGCGUUAUUCGGAAUUAUUGGGCGUAAAGGGCGCGUAGGCGGCACGCGUAAGUCUCGGGUGAAAUCCCCUCGGCUCAACCCGGAGGAACUGGCCUGGAAACUGCGUGGCUUGAGGCCGGCAGAGGAGGGUGGAAUUCCC